RNAcentral lists this transfer RNA (148 nucleotides) under Crassvirales sp. Its description in RNAcentral is "tRNA-Leu". The stretch from base 83 to 146 matches the Rfam family "tRNA". Lineage: Duplodnaviria; Heunggongvirae; Uroviricota; Caudoviricetes; Crassvirales. The record is from RNAcentral.
GAGGAGUUAGCUCAGUGGGCAGAGCAGUUUUAUAGAAUCAUACUCUAUACAUUAUUCUCUCUAUAUCAAUGAGUAGUGAAGUGUAGAGUUACUUCAAUAUUUGCCUUUUAAGCAACAGGUCACAGGUUCGAAUCCUGUACUCCUCCCU